This 76-nucleotide transfer RNA is filed under the name Desulfobulbus sp. RNAcentral describes it as "tRNA-Glu". It matches the Rfam family "tRNA". Rfam says of the family: Transfer RNA (tRNA) molecules are approximately 80 nucleotides in length. Lineage: Bacteria; Pseudomonadati; Thermodesulfobacteriota; Desulfobulbia; Desulfobulbales; Desulfobulbaceae. RNAcentral also lists the same sequence under 7 other names. The record is from RNAcentral.
GGCCCCAUCGUCUAGUGGCCUAGGACACCGGCCUCUCACGCCGGUAACAGGGGUUCGAGUCCCCUUGGGGUCACCA